UAAUUUGUCAUGAUAUAGGAAUAACUAGUUUGUUAAUCUGUGACUUUAUCAGUGAGAAUCAUUUUUUGGAGUUUACCAAAGAGAUGGUUAAGCAAAUAGAUAAGCUUUCUUCUUUGUUAAAUGUAGUAAUCUAUUGAAAGGGUUCCGAGUUCAUAUUAUACGCAUAGUCAUUAUAUCCUAAGAUCCGUGAUGAUAUCGGGGAUUAUUGGGUUAAUAUAUGCGUUAAUUGAGUUAGAAAAAUUUGGCAUUUACAGUUCUAAUUUGUUGUCUAUGUCAAACCCUCCUUAGUCUUAUAGUUAAAACAACGUCUUAAAGUUUUGACAUGCCAUGCUGACAUUUGAACAUAGUUAAACAAACAUAAAUAUAAAAUGGAAUGGCUGCCUAUUUUGUCUGAUGGUAUGAUUGAUCUUUU
RNAcentral lists this long non-coding RNA (412 nucleotides) under Solanum tuberosum (potato). Its description in RNAcentral is "long non-coding RNA (STUB_LNC011452)". Lineage: Eukaryota; Viridiplantae; Streptophyta; Magnoliopsida; Solanales; Solanaceae. The record is from RNAcentral.